RNAcentral lists this ribosomal RNA (406 nucleotides) under uncultured bacterium. RNAcentral describes it as "partial 16S ribosomal RNA". It matches the Rfam family "Bacterial small subunit ribosomal RNA", at positions 29 to 526 of the family's 1533-position model. The record is from RNAcentral.
AUUGAACGCUGGCGGCAGGCCUAACACAUGCAAGUCGAACGAGUGGCGGACGGGUGAGUAAUGUCUGGGAAACUGCCUGAUGGAGGGGGAUAACUACUGGAAACGGUAGCUAAUACCGCAUACCAUCGGAUGUGCCCAGAUGGGAUUAGCUAGGAGGUGGGGUAAAGGCUCACCUAGGCGACGAUCCCUAGCUGGUCUGAGAGGAUGACCAGCCACACUGGAACUGAGACACGGCCCAGACUCCGACGGGAGGCAGCAGUGGGGAAUAUUGAACAAUGGGCGCAAGCCUGAUGCAGCCAUCCCGCGUGUAUGAAGAAGGCCUUCGGGUUGUAAAGCACUGUAAGCGGGGAAGCGGUACCUGCAGAAGAAGCACCGGCUAACUACGUGCCAGCAGCCGCGGUAAUAC